Molecule: unclassified non-coding RNA, 20 nt
Filed under: Mus musculus (house mouse)
Lineage: Eukaryota; Metazoa; Chordata; Mammalia; Rodentia; Muridae
Description: oocyte_clustered_small_RNA388
Source: RNAcentral
UCAGGGCAUUCCUCUGGGUC